Molecule: ribosomal RNA, 327 nt
Filed under: uncultured bacterium
Lineage: Bacteria
Description: bacterial SSU rRNA
Rfam family: Bacterial small subunit ribosomal RNA
Source: RNAcentral
GACGAACGCUGGCGGCGUGCUUAACACAUGCAAGUCGAGCGGUAAGGCCCUUUCGGGGGUACACGAGCGGCGAAACGGGUGAGUAACACGUGGGUGACCUGCCCUCAGCUCUGGGAUAAGCCCGGGAAACUGGGUCUAAUACUGGAUAUGACUCCAUGACGCAUGUUGUGGGGUGGAAAGCCUUGUGCGGCUGAGGAUGGGCCCGCGGCCUAUCAGCUUGUUGGUGGGGGAUGGCCUACCAAGGCGACGACGGGGUAGCCGGCCUGAGAGGGCGACCGGCCACACUGGGACUGAGACACGGCCCAGACUCCUACGGGAGGCAGCAGU